Long non-coding RNA from Haliotis rubra (blacklip abalone), 548 nucleotides. RefSeq lists it as uncharacterized. The transcript is spliced from 3 exons. The record is from RefSeq and is a predicted model, not a curated record. Lineage: Eukaryota; Metazoa; Mollusca; Gastropoda; Lepetellida; Haliotidae.
CGGCUAAUAUCACCACGUGACACCAGUUCCUGUCGCACUGCAGGGUCUCAUUGGAACGCUUAAGUGUAUCGAAGUUCCACCGACUGGUGAUCACAGCAUACAACAACGUUGUAUACGUCGCGCUGCGGUGUAUACUUCAAACACCACUGGCAUUAUCUAGCCAGAGGGAGCGAAGUGUACCGUAGAGAGUACCGACCAACAUGACUGAGAUCUGUCCCCACUGUGGAGUGGGGUUCAAGCGUCUGGCAUCUCACGAGUGGAGGUGCAAGGAAAAGAAAACAUCAUCCAGCCUCAAGUCUGGUUCCUCAUUCAGUUCCAGCACACCCUCAUCAUCAGUGGUUGGCAGUUCGGGAACUGGGCGACAUAACACUCCACAAGCAGGUAACAGUUCGGGAACUGGGCGACAUAACACUCCACCAGCAGGUAACAGUUCGGGAACUGGGCGACAUAACACUCCACCAGCAGGUAACAGUUCGGGAACUGGGCGACAUAACACACCAUCAGCAGGUAACAUUACCGGUGCCUGGCGGCCUACCGCACCAUCGGCG